This 250-nucleotide unclassified non-coding RNA is filed under the name Pleosporales sp. RNAcentral's name for it is "partial contains 5.8S ribosomal RNA, internal transcribed spacer 2, and large subunit ribosomal RNA". The record is from RNAcentral. Lineage: Eukaryota; Fungi; Ascomycota; Dothideomycetes; Pleosporales.
CGCACAUUGCGCCCCUUGGUAUUCCAUGGGGCAUGCCUGUUCGAGCGUCAUUUGUACCCUCAAGCUUUGCUUGGUGUUGGGCGUCUUGUCUACCUCUUCAGCGGGUAGACUCGCCUUAAAGUAAUUGGCAGCCAGUGUUUUUGGCAGUAAGCGCAGCACAUUUUGCGUCUUAGUCCCUAAACAGUGGCAUCCACAAAGCCUCUUUCUCACUUUUGACCUCGGAUCAGGUAGGGAUACCCGCUGAACUUAA